UUGCCGUCAGGUGACGUAAAGGGGCAGCUAUUGGGCAGGGCUGGCGGAUGUGGUGGGGGCCACAGCCCCCCUCUGUUUGCUCUUCCUCUUCUUGGUGCCAGACUUUGCAUCUUUGGUGUCUUUCCGAUUUCUGUUCCCGUUUGUAUUAUCUUGCUUUCCUUGCUCGUCCUUUUUCUUCCUUUUCCCUUCGGGGCAUUGGCUCUUCUGCACAGUGCAUCUGCGCACCUCCGUGGUGGCGGGGCACAGGGACACGUCCCCAGAGGGAGCCUGCAGGAUCCGCCGCGUUCGGUCCUCGUUCCCCUUCUUGAAGCCACACAGCUUCCUCUUCUUGGAGCAGGGCCCCCAG
Molecule: long non-coding RNA, 346 nt
Filed under: Gallus gallus (chicken)
Lineage: Eukaryota; Metazoa; Chordata; Aves; Galliformes; Phasianidae
Source: RNAcentral